This 508-nucleotide ribosomal RNA is filed under the name uncultured bacterium. RNAcentral's name for it is "bacterial SSU rRNA". It matches the Rfam family "Bacterial small subunit ribosomal RNA", at positions 15 to 518 of the family's 1533-position model. The record is from RNAcentral.
GAUCUGGUUCAGAUGAACGCUGGCGGCAGGCUUAACACAUGCAAGUCGAGCGGGGAAAUGUAGCUUGCUACAUUACCUAGCGGCGGACGGGUGAGUAAUGCUUAGGAAUCUGCCUAUUAGUGGGGGACAACAUCUCGAAAGGGAUGCUAAUACCGCAUACGUCCUACGGGAGAAAGCAGGGGACCUUCGGGCCUUGCGCUAAUAGAUGAGCCUAAGUCGGAUUAGCUAGUUGGUGGGGUAAAGGCCUACCAAGGCGACGAUCUGUAGCGGGUCUGAGAGGAUGAUCCGCCACACUGGGACUGAGACACGGCCCAGACUCCUACGGGAGGCAGCAGUGGGGAAUAUUGGACAAUGGGGGGAACCCUGAUCCAGCCAUGCCGCGUGUGUGAAAGAAGGCCUUUUGGUUGUAAAGCACUUUAAGCGAGGAGGAGGCUACCGAGAUUAAUACUCUUGGAUAGUGGACGUUACUCGCAGAAUAAGCACCGGCUAACUCUGUGCCAGCCGCCGC